CAGCGCCCUCUGGGGGCCGGCGGAGCGAUAGAUGUUCACUGAAUUAAACGUAAAAGAUGGAGCCAACGUUCAGUCCGCCGCUUCACAUGCAGAGGCAUCAAUUUGUCAUCGAUUUUGUCAAGAGGAACAAAACACAAAAGGUGGUGGACUUGGGGUGCAGUGAGUGCAGCCUUCUCAAAAAACUGAAGUUUCACCGUGAAAUUGAACUGCUGGUUGGAGUGGACAUCAACGGUGCCAAAGUAAAAAGAAAGAUGCAUGGAUUAGCUCCUAUAUCAAGUUACUAUCUGCAGCCAACAUAUGAUCAGCUGCGCAUUGAGCUGUACCAGGGCUCAGUCACACAGAAAGAUGUCCGCCUCAGAGGAUUUGAUCUGGCGACCUGUAUAGAGCUCAUAGAGCACCUCACACUUGCUGAUGUGGAGCGCUUCUCUGAGGUGGUAUUUGGUUACAUGACCCCAGUGGCGGUUAUCGUCAGCACCCCUAACUCUGAGUUCAACCCCCUUUUCCCUGGUCUGACAGGUUUCAGGCACAGUGACCACAAGUUUGAGUGGACCAGAGCAGAGUUCAAGUCCUGGGCUCUUAAGGUGUGUUUGGAGUACGGUUAUGAGGUGGACUUUACUGGUGUUGGACAGGCACCACCAGGCCAGCAGGAGAGAGUCGGCUUCUGCUCCCAGAUUGGUGUGUUUCACCGGCUUGGAGGGAGAGAUUCCUGCAACAUGUUGUAUGGUGACGAUGCUGAGGAUAUGUUUUCAUACACACUGCUGUAUAGUAUAAACUACCCCAGCCUGCGUGACCAAAACAUCUUGCGUAGGGUGCUGGUGAGUGAAGUGUUGUACUGGGCAGAAAAGCUGAAGGGAAGAUGGCUCGAGCAGAAGAGGGAUUACAGUUUUACACUGUGCCAGACUGAGGGAGGAGUGUCAGAGCGACGCAUGGAGAUGGAAAACAAACAGACAGCAUACGCAACAGAAGCAUGUGGAGCAGAGAUGUGUGGCAGAGGUGUGGCAGAAGAUACGGAAAGAAAGGAUGAAGAGUUGUCUUGGACAAAUGUUCAAGGUCAACAGGAGUUGCACAGGUUUGUGUCUGUACCUCUGGCUGUGCUGUGGUACCGCUGCCCCAAAGUCAGCGCCCUAAGUGGAAAUCUCACUAAUCUCAAACACAUCCUGAUGGAGGCCCCUGAAGUAAAAUUGAGCCAGGACGGUUCUGCUGUGCUUGUACAGGACCAAGGCUUUGAAGAAAAAGGGGAUUGUAAUGAUUUGGAGGACAGUGGGUAUGCAGAGGCCAGCCAGUACUCCCACAGUGAUGAGCAAGAGCAAGCCUGGGACGCAAAUGUUUGAUCUGCAAGAUACAGCUUUGUUUUCGGGACAAAACGAAUCAUUUGAUAUGACGUCAGUGAAUAUCCUACCUGGUGGGAAGGUGAUGGCUUCCAAGGGCUGUGCUUCCCCCAGGACCAACAAACAAACGCAAGCCUUCCUCUGAAACAGACACAGUUGCGGUAACAUUUGCUUUGAGCUGGAUGAGACCUUGGAAAGAAAAACAAUGCCCUACUCCUCAGAGUACACAGACUGACUUGACUUGUGAGUGACAAAACAAGAUGGAGAAAAUCUGCCUAGAACUUGCACAACAAUGACACCUGAAAGAAUAAAACCUGCAGAUAUGGCAAUUCUAAAAA
RNA transcript from Micropterus dolomieu (smallmouth bass), 1666 nucleotides. It is a transcript of the gene named HEN methyltransferase 1, with no coding region annotated. The record is from RefSeq and is a predicted model, not a curated record. The transcript has 12 exons. Lineage: Eukaryota; Metazoa; Chordata; Actinopteri; Centrarchiformes; Centrarchidae.